This is an RNA transcript of Pan troglodytes (chimpanzee), 6588 nucleotides long. It is a transcript of the gene named dynein cytoplasmic 2 light intermediate chain 1, with no coding region annotated. Lineage: Eukaryota; Metazoa; Chordata; Mammalia; Primates; Hominidae. The transcript has 18 exons. The record is from RefSeq and is a predicted model, not a curated record.
CAGAGACUACUUCCGGAGCAGGACAUUCGGCGAUGAGCUAGACCACAAAGCCUCCUCUCCCCAGGGGCCUCCCCUCCUGGUGCGGGGGUUCGCAGUAAUAAGCGAGGGGAAACUUGGAAAGCACUGUGGAAAGUGACGUGGCUGACUGCAGCAUCUCCGUCUUUCAUCUCUGCUAGUGAAACUCUCUGGGAAAUUGCAAAAGCUGAAGUGGAAAAAAGGGGAAUUAAUGGAAGUGAAGGUGAUGGAGCUGAAAUUGCAGAAAAAUCUGUUUUCUUCAUUGGCAGUAAAAAUGGGGGUUAUUAAUUAUUUUGAAAAAUCUGGGGAAAAUAUGGCAGCAUUUCCAUUGGACCACUGAUUGGUAGGAAGAACCCCUCCCCACUUGCUGUAAGUCUCUGUUUUACUUGGCCAAGCAUACAGAAAGGCUUGGAAGUGACCACACAGAGCAGGAACAUAUGCAUCAUAUCUUCAUGCAACUUUGCCUGGCCCACAAAGUUCCUGCCAGGAAGGCAAAAUGACUGGUGACACAAAAAGGUCAAGGCUUGCUAGAUGCAAGAUGCUGAAAUUCACGUAGUGCCGUAGCUCAUUUCUGUUUGGGGUUCAAAUUCCUGUUCACUUUCUGUGCUCCAUGCUUCCACUUAAGUGCACUGACAAAUACGAAGCUUUCAGAAACUAAACUCUGCAUCAGCAAGGCUACAUGUUCACUGGGCAACGUCAGUGCCCAGGCAGCCUGAGCACCCGUCUUGUCUCCAGAUGAGUCCCAGAAGGCCCUCUCUGCACAACCGGACACCCUCCAUUGGGGGUUUUAUAUACAACAUUAAGAUUACAUAUAUUGGGAGAAAUACCUAUACAACCAUGAAAAAGGUUUUAGUGAUGUAAGAAUAUAAUCUGAAUUAAAAAAGCAGGACACAAGUGUCAUACAUGACAUGAUCCCAAUUAUACAAAUAUGUAAAUAAAAAAUUCUGAUAAAAAUUAGAAAUAUGGAUAGUCAAAUUCUAAUCACUUAAUGUUUUUAUUUUGUUUUUAAUUUUUUUAUUUUCCAGAGUUUUCAUAUUGGCCCACUUUUUAAAAUUCAAACUUAAUUAUUUAAAAUAAAAUUAUCGUAGAGAUCAUUUAUAUUUUAAAAUUUUAACCCAACUAUAUAAGUAUAUAUUUUAUAAGCAUGUUAUUUCUUUUUUUGAGACAGGGUCUCGCUCUGGUUGCCCAGGCUAGAGUGCAGUGGUGCGAUCUCAGCACACUGCAGCCUUGACUUCCCUGGCUCAGGUGAUUUUACCUCAAGUAGCUGGGAUUACAGGCAUGCGCCACCACACCCGGCUAAUUUUUUGUAUUUUUAAUAGAGAUGGGGUUUCACUUCGUUGCCCAGGCUGACCUCCAACUCCUGGACUCAAGCAAUCCACCCGUCUCAGCCUCCUAGAAUGCUGGGAUUAGAGGCAUGAGUCACCGCCCCGGCUACGCGUUAUUUCAUGAGUUUACUAUUAUGAUGCACGUGAUUUUCAUAUUAGGCAUAGUACUUAACAGUUUCCUACAUUGUAUCUUACUGCCAUGUAGGUACAUACAUAGAUUUAAAUAAAUGAGUAAAUAACUAGUACUAGUCUUAUGGUACAAAUACAUUUCUAUUACAGAAAACAUUCUGUACACAGAAUAUUAGACAGAAUGGCUUAUACUAAUGGUACUGAUUACUGACUCCAUCAUACAAAUGCUUACAUACAAAAUACCCCUACCAGUAUCCUCUGAGCGCUCUCUGUAACAGUUAUUCUUGACUCCCUUGUAGUCAUGAUACCCUGUUUUGUCUUUUGUUUUGUUUUGUUUUUUUGUUACUUGUGAAACCACCCCUUUUUCUUGAUGGCAGUAUGUGGCAUAUACAAACGUUUUUUGUUUUUAGUAAUAAAAGUAAUUUUGUUUCUGAUGAUUUGGGAACUCCCUUGAUAUCUAAAACUUUUGAGGGUAUUGUUCUUUAAAAAGUAUGUGAUUCUGCUGAGUGCAGUAGCUCAUGCUUGUAAUCCCAGGACUUUGGGAGGCUGAGGCAGAUGGAUUGCUUGAGCCCAGGAGUUCGAGACCAACCUAGGCAACGUGGCAAAACCCAGUCUCUCCAAAAAAAUAAAACAAUUAGCCGGGUGUGGUGGCGCUCACCUGUAUGUAGUCCCAGCUACGUGGAAGGCUGAGGCGAGAGGAUCACUUGAGCCCAGAAGGUUAAGGCUGCCGUGAGCCGCCGUGAUUGUGCCACUACACUCUAGCCUGGGCAACAGAGGGAGACCUUGUUUCAAAAAAGAAAGAAAAAGGUAUCUGAUUCUGCUUCAUGGAGAACAUUAUUUUGGAAGAUAAAGGGAAGCAAUUAAUGCUUCUAUUGUUCAAUUAAUAGUAAUCACCCUUUACCAAAGAAGCCCACUGCCCUGCUGCCUUCUCUUUCUCCUUCCAACCAUCUGUUCAUCCAUUCGGUUGACAUUGAUCGAACAUCUUUUAUAUGCUAAGCAUCCUGCUAGACACUGUGGAAACAGGAAUGAAAGGCAUUCUCCCUGGGAAGGAACUUGUGUAUCAGGACUUGUACACCAAGAAUGACAAUACCAUGAGACAAAUGCUGUGGUGGAAAACAGAGAGGGCACUUAACUCACCCCAGAAAGUUGGGAGACUAGGAAAGCCUCCUGAAGACAGUGAUGGCUAAAGCUUGAAGGUAAGAAGUAAGGAAAGAGAAGUAAUUCAGGUGAAGAGUGUGGAGUAUUCUAAGUUGAUCAAGAAAAAUGUAUGAAACAGAUAUUCCAACAAAUGGGAGAGAGAUCAUACUAGAGGAAUGUAAUAGGAUUUUCAGUCAUUGUUGACUGCCAUUUUGAUGAUGGAUGUUAGUUUGAUACUAAUCUGCCCAGAGUACAUGGUUUUUCUCCACCAUCACUCACUUGCAUGGGUGCAGGCACGGAGGAGGAAGGUGAUUACCUGGGGCGGUCUUUGCUGGUUGGGUACAGUGCAAAGUGAGGGAGCUCAGGGCAUGAAUGAUAUUUAGCAGAGAUGAUUGUAAUGAUAAACUAUGGGCUCUGAGAUGGAAAAGGAGAAAAGUGAAGAUAGGAAGAGGCUAAUGGAGUAGGAGCGACUGUUAGUGGGGGGAAGAGGGGUGUCAAUGGACAUUUGAGACCUUUCACUAAGGUGAAAGAGUUAUUACUGUGGGGAUGCCUGAAGAAGUGGUUAGAGAAUGUGUUGUUUGUACAUGUGAUUUUGGAAGCAGUGCGGUUUCCAGUGAAACUGGAAAGCUUCAAGAUGUAACCUUGGAAGUGACCGUGGCAGAAGCAGAGUGAGGGAAAAGGCCUCCAUUGGGAGGCAAAUGCACUGAGAGCUCCGGAUGUCAGGUGGAUUGCCAAGACCCAUGUGGGUGUGAAGAAGAUUCAUGACAGUAGCUGAAAAGACGGAGUCUUGCUCUGUCGUAUAGGCUCGAGUGCAGUGGUAUGAUCUCGGCUCACUGCAGCCUCCGCCUCCUGGGUUCACACCAUUCUCCUGCCUCAGCCUCCCAAGUUGCUGGGACUGCAGCCGCCCACGACCACGCCCGGAAGCAGGAAAAGUAUUUUUUAAUUGAAAACACAGUCAUGCUGAUCUAUUAUGAAUGUUUUACUAUGUCAGGAAAGACUACUAUUAUUCUAAGGUGUCUUGACAGAGAUGAACCACCAAAACCAACCUUAGCUUUGGAAUAUACAUAUGGAAGAAGAGCAAAAGGGCACAACACACCAAAAGAUAUCGCUCACUUUUGGGAACUCGGUGGAGGAACCUCUUUAUUGGACUUAAUCAGCAUACCCAUCACAAGUGACACCUUACGGACGUUUUCUCUUGUUCUCGUUCUGGAUCUUUCAAAACCUAAUGAUCUCUGGCCCACCAUGGAAAAUCUCUUGCAAGCCACAAAAAGCCAUGUAGACAAAGUGAUAAUGAAACUGGGAAAGACAAAUGCUAAAGCAGUUUCUGAAAUGAGACAGAAGAUCUGGAAUAAUAUGCAGAAGGAUCAUCCUGAUCGUGAAUUAAUUGACCCAUUUCCGGUACCUCUGGUCAUAAUUGGAAGUAAAUAUGAUGUUUUUCAGGAUUUUGAGUCUGAGAAGAGAAAGGUAAUAUGCAAGACACUUCGAUUUGUUGCACAUUAUUAUGGAGCAUCAUUAAUGUUUACCAGUAAAUCAGAAGCUCUAUUACUAAAAAUACGUGGAGUUAUCAACCAGUUGGCAUUUGGCAUUGACAAAAGCAAAUCAAUAUGUGUGGAUCAGAAUAAACCGCUGUUUAUCACAGCAGGAUUGGAUUCUUUCGGUCAAAUAGGAUCUCCUCCUGUUCCUGAAAAUGACAUUGGAAAGCUUCAUGCCCACUCACCAAUGGAGUUGUGGAAAAAAGUGUAUGAAAAGCUCUUUCCACCAAAGAGUAUUAACAUGCUGAAAGAUAUCAAGGACCCUGCGAGAGAUCCUCAGUAUGCUGAAAGUGAAGUCGAUGAGAUGAGAAUUCAGAAGGAUCAGAACAGGCACAUCUAAGGAGAUAUCCUAUCAAGAAGCAGGACAAAACAUCAUGUGUUGCGGAUAACCAGGAUUAUUUCCAAGGUGGGAUAGCCUUUAAGAAGCCAUUCCAAUCUGUAGAUUUGUGUACCUGCUAGCCAAGUUCAUUUUGAUGACCAAGCACCAUCUGAAGAACAGGCCGUCCUGGUCUACCACAGUGCAAAGAAAGGAUCCAGAUGCAGUUUGUCCUCUCCAGCUGCAUGAGUGGCGAGGUUUCCCCAGGUGAUGGGGAAAAUGACCAAACCUGGCAGAGGAUUGACUACUCUGUUUUGAUACUCCCUUCCCCACAACAUAUACACUUUUGAGUUUAUCAUUCAAAUUCCUAUUUUAAUUCCUGCCAUUUCAUGAACACCUGUGGUCAUAUCAAAACUCAUUGGCUUUCCCCAGCCCACACAGUGGUAUUGCCCUGGUGAGAAGAAAUGAUUGGCAGGGCAAGGCUCCAUAUUUGAAUAAGGAAAACCCCAAUGGAACACUUCAACACCAAUGCAACGCUUCCGGGUCCAGGAGCUGUUUUGUUUGGAUGAUGGAAUCGCAUCAGGAAAUGAACUAUACAGCAUUUCCGAAAAAACUGGGUCCUCAGUUUGAAAAACCUGUGAUUUCAGUUGUACACAAACCCCUUUCCAAAUGAGGACUGUGAAGAAGGGGCCCAAAGUAUCUGCAGACACACAGAAGAUGCCCAGACAGCAGCUAGUAACAGUUCUGGGUGCCACUUACUAGGAUCCUGGAGCAGCUGGGCUGCGAUGGAGACCCGGCGCCGCUCACCAGUGGAAAUGCCCCCCAAGCUGUAGUUGCCAAUCAGUCGGUCUGCCACAUGGCUCAGACUCAGCUCUGCCAUGACGGCCUCCACCUGCAGGAGACACAAAUUACAGGAAGGCUGGGAGUCGCUGUGGCUGCUAUUUCAAUUCAUGGGCUGGGGAGGACAUGAAAGAGGCAGCACACCCCCCAAGAAUCCAAGGGCCACUUCCAGACUCACCACACCCUGGGGAAAGCAUGUCUUUGAUAAUAAUAUGAUCCAAUUCGGCUUAAAUCGUAAUACAUGUGUCAGAUUUAAAUAAAUAAUAUGAAUUUUUUAAAACGUCCCCAGAGGCUGGGUGCAGUGGCUCAUGCCUGUAAUCCCAACACUUUGGAAGGCUGAGGAGGGAGAAUUGCUUGAGGCCAGGAGUUUGAGACCAGCUUGGGCAACAAAGAGAGACCCUGUCUCUACAAAAAAAAAAAAAAAAAGAAAAAAGAAAAAAACAAUAAAUUAGCUGGGUAUGCUGGCACGUGCCUGUAGUCCCAGCUACUCGGGAUGCUUAGGCAGGAGGAUCGCUUGAUCCCAGGACGUUGAGACCACAGUUAGCCGUGAUGGCACCACUGCACUCCAGCCUAGGUGACAGAGCAAGACCCUGUCUCUAAAAUAAAAUAAAAUAAAAUGGGCCUGGCAUGGCGGCUUAUGCCUGUAAUCCCAGCACUUUGGGAGGUCGAGGUGGGUGGAUCACUUGAGGUCAGGAGUUCGAGACUAGCCUAGCCAACAUGGUGAAACCCUGUCUGUUCUAAAAAUACAGAAAUGAGCUGGGAGUGGUGGCGGGCACCGGUAAUCCCAGCUACUCGGGAGGCUAAGGCAGGAGAAUUGCUUGAACCCGGGAGGCCAAGGUUGCAGUGAGGCAAGAUGGCACCACUGCACUCCAACCUGGGUGACAGAGCGAGACUCCGACUCAAAAAAAUAAUAAUAAAUAAAUAAACAAAUAAAAUAAGAUUCCCUAGAACACAAACUGCUUACACUUGCUUCAGGAAAAUUAACCAGGAAACAACAGAUGCUUCAUUAAACUCCUAUUUGCAGGAGCCAUAGUCACUGCAGCCCAUACAGAAAAAUCCCCCAAAUUCAUGAUUACAAUAUCGCUUACUUUUAUAAGUGUUUGGGUUUUGAAACUUUAUUAUCAUAAAUGCUUUAUGUGUUUACAAAAAUCCAACCUGAUUCGAACUAAACCUGUUUCCCACUAUAUAACCCAAAUAAGUGCUGGGGUCCCAUGUGGUACAAUCUCAGUGUGAUUUCACAUCAAAGACAUAUAAUCCAGCCUUCAGAAGUAAUUAAAAAUAAUUCCAAUCUUUA